GAUGAACGCUGGCGGCGUGCCUAAUACAUGCAAGUCGAGCGAACGGACGAGAAGCUUGCUUCUCUGAUGUUAGCGGCGGACGGGUGAGUAACACGUGGAUAACCUACCUAUAAGACUGGGAUAACUUCGGGAAACCGGAGCUAAUACCGGAUAAUAUUUUGAACCGCAUGGUUCAAAAGUGAAAGACGGUCUUGCUGUCACUUAUAGAUGGAUCCGCGCUGCAUUAGCUAGUUGGUAAGGUAACGGCUUACCAAGGCAACGAUGCAUAGCCGACCUGAGAGGGUGAUCGGCCACACUGGAACUGAGACACGGUCCAGACUCCUACGGGAGGCAGCAGUAGGGAAUCUUCCGCAAUGGGCGAAAGCCUGACGGAGCAACGCCGCGUGAGUGAUGAAGGUCUUCGGAUCGUAAAACUCUGUUAUUAGGGAAGAACAUAUGUGUAAGUAACUGUGCACAUCUUGACGGUACCUAAUCAGAAAGCCACGGCUAACUACGUGCCAGCAGCCGCGGUAAUACGUAGGUGGCAAGCGUUAUCCGGAAUUAUUGGGCGUAAAGCGCGCGUAGGCGGUUUUUUAGUCUGAUGUGAAAGCCCACGGCUCAACCGUGGAGGGUCAUUGGAAACUGGAAAACUUGAGUGCAGAAGAGGAAAGUGGAAUUCCAUGUGUAGCGGUGAAAUGCGCAGAGAUAUGGAGGAACACCAGUGGCGAAGGCGACUUUCUGGUCUGUAACUGACGCUGAUGUGCGAAAGCGUGGGGAUCAAACAGGAUUAGAUACCCUGGUAGUCCACGCCGUAAACGAUGAGUGCUAAGUGUUAGGGGGUUUCCGCCCCUUAGUGCUGCAGCUAACGCAUUAAGCACUCCGCCUGGGGAGUACGACCGCAAGGUUGAAACUCAAAGGAAUUGACGGGGACCCGCACAAGCGGUGGAGCAUGUGGUUUAAUUCGAAGCAACGCGAAGAACCUUACCAAAUCUUGACAUCCUUUGACAACUCUAGAGAUAGAGCCUUCCCCUUCGGGGGACAAAGUGACAGGUGGUGCAUGGUUGUCGUCAGCUCGUGUCGUGAGAUGUUGGGUUAAGUCCCGCAACGAGCGCAACCCUUAAGCUUAGUUGCCAUCAUUAAGUUGGGCACUCUAAGUUGAUUGCCGGUGACAAACCGGAGGAAGGUGGGGAUGACGUCAAAUCAUCAUGCCCCUUAUGAUUUGGGCUACACACGUGCUACAAUGGACAAUACAAAGGGCAGCGAAACCGCGAGGUCAAGCAAAUCCCAUAAAGUUGUUCUCAGUUCGGAUUGUAGUCUGCAACUCGACUACAUGAAGCUGGAAUCGCUAGUAAUCGUAGAUCAGCAUGCUACGGUGAAUACGUUCCCGGGUCU
RNAcentral lists this ribosomal RNA (1371 nucleotides) under uncultured bacterium. Its description in RNAcentral is "bacterial SSU rRNA". It matches the Rfam family "Bacterial small subunit ribosomal RNA", at positions 28 to 1381 of the family's 1533-position model. The record is from RNAcentral.